CGGUGACGUCAUCCUGGGACCUCGUCACCGCGGCGGCCGCUCCUCAAGUUCUACUUUGUUCCACAAGGCUCCUCUGCUCACGGCUGCGUGGACAAAACCCAAAGGGAACCUAGCUCGGCCUGGCAGGAGUUUAUAACUUUGUACUUUUCCCUCCCUUGUAACGAAAACCUCAUCACAAUUGUUUCUAGGAACACAUUUUUCUCCUGAUAGACGUUCCCAAGGUGGAGGGCGCGACAAGGCUGGCCCGUGGGGCUGAGGAGCCCCUGCCGGCCUCAGUGGCGCCACAAAGCGGGCUCUAAACCAUUAAGCGGGGAAAUAAUUUUCCAAGAGACCAGGAGUUGGACUUUUUGAAGCCAUCGAAAACCGCCGCUAGGCACUCCCGCUGGGGUUUUGAGAGAGGUAGGUGAGGAGGCAUCAGACAUCUCCACACACACUUGAAAGAACGGCCUUGAGCUGCGCCCAACUUCUGCAAUCCCGGUUUUCCCCAAGUUCAAGGGGAAGGGCCCUGGCGCCCAAUGCCCGGCCUCCCCGACAACAUCCUCGCCAGGGUGCCCCUGCCCCGCCGGCCCAAGAGUCCGCUGUCCCCGGCAGGCGGCCCUGGGUUCGAGGACCCGGCUUCCUAGAGGAGUGACUCUCCAAACAAGCGGGGCUCCAGAAAACCCACCGACGCGAAGGGGGUGAGGAUACAAGGAGAAGACAGCAAACCGCAAAGCAUACCCUCACCAGACACCGGAUCUGCUGGCACCUUGAUCUUUAACUUCCCCACCUCCAAACUUUGGCUUCCAAAGGAUGCAGUGUUGCAAGAUGGCUCCAGACUUUGAAUCCUGUUUUUGGGCAGGAAGACCAAAAGCUAAAUACAAAAGGUAUAUACUAACUGAUUCUGUC
Molecule: long non-coding RNA, 885 nt
Organism: Sapajus apella (tufted capuchin)
Lineage: Eukaryota; Metazoa; Chordata; Mammalia; Primates; Cebidae
Exons: 3
Source: RefSeq, a predicted model, not a curated record